GACGUAGGGCGCGAGCGUUGUCCGGAUUUAUUGGGCGUAAAGAGCUCGUAGGCGGCUUGUCGCGUCGUCUGUGAAAUCCCGCGGCUCAACCGCGGGUCUGCAGUCGAUACGGGCAGGCUAGAGUUCGGUAGGGGAGACUGGAAUUCCUGGUGUAGCGGUGAAAUGCGCAGAUAUCAGGAGGAACACCGGUGGCGAAGGCGGGUCUCUGGGCCGAUGACUGACGCUGAGGAGCGAAAGCGUGGGGAGCGAACAGG
This 254-nucleotide ribosomal RNA is filed under the name uncultured bacterium. RNAcentral describes it as "partial 16S ribosomal RNA". It matches the Rfam family "Bacterial small subunit ribosomal RNA", at positions 524 to 776 of the family's 1533-position model. The record is from RNAcentral.